UACGGGGGGGGCAAGCGUUGUUCGGAAUUACUGGGCGUAAAGGGCUCGUAGGCGGCCAACUAAGUCGGAUGUGAAAUCCCCAGGCUCAACUUGGGAACUGCAUCCGAUACUGGAUGGCUUGAAUCCGGGAGAGGGAUGCAGAAUUCCAGGUGUAGCGGUGAAUGACGCGAGCGUAUCAGGAGGAACACCAGUGGCGAAGGCGGUGCUCUGGGCCGGAACUGACGCUGAGGAGCGAAAGCGUGGGGAGCAAACAGG
Molecule: ribosomal RNA, 255 nt
Filed under: uncultured bacterium
Lineage: Bacteria
Description: partial 16S ribosomal RNA
Rfam family: Bacterial small subunit ribosomal RNA
Source: RNAcentral